UAAAGAGUUACAUUAGCAAAGUAAAUUAGGAUUUUGAUUAUUGGACUCUACCAAGCUGGAGUACGGUAGGGGCAGAGGGAAUUUCCGGUGGAGCGGUGAAAUGCGUAGAGAUCGGAAAGAACACCAACGGCGAAAGCACUCUGCUGGGCCGACACUGACACUGAGAGACGAAAGCUAGGGGAGCGAAUGGGAUUAGAUACCCCAGUAGUCCUAGCCGUAAACGAUGGAUACUAGGCGCUGUGCGUAUCGACCCGUGCAGUGCUGUAGCUAACGCGUUAAGUAUCCC
RNAcentral lists this non-coding RNA (286 nucleotides) under Nicotiana attenuata. RNAcentral describes it as "Bacterial small subunit ribosomal RNA". It matches the Rfam family "Bacterial small subunit ribosomal RNA", at positions 596 to 870 of the family's 1533-position model. The record is from Rfam by way of RNAcentral. Lineage: Eukaryota; Viridiplantae; Streptophyta; Magnoliopsida; Solanales; Solanaceae.